This is a long non-coding RNA of Xiphophorus hellerii (green swordtail), 721 nucleotides long. RefSeq lists it as uncharacterized. The transcript has 2 exons. NCBI's taxonomy places the organism in Eukaryota, Metazoa, Chordata, Actinopteri, Cyprinodontiformes, Poeciliidae. The record is from RefSeq and is a predicted model, not a curated record.
UUGUGUUUUUUUUUUCAAUUAAUGGAAACAUAUAUUUUUAAGCAAAUUUUUUACAAAUAUGGACAUGAAAAGUGUGGCUUUUCUUUUGCAUUUAGCCCCAUUUUCAUGAUACCUCUAACAAAAAAUCCAGCGCAACCAGCUGCCUUUAGAUGUCACUUAAUUACUAUAAAUUAAGCAAGUGAAGAAGCGACCUCUUGAAGACCAAGGAAACACACCAGACAGGUCAGGUUAGGAAAUGCUUAAAGCAAAGGUUGGGUUAUUGAAGAAUGUCACAAUGGAACAACUCACAGCGCUCUGUUCAAUCCAUCAUCCUAAAAUCAAAUGCGGCAAAACUCGAGACCUACCAAGACAUUUAAGUUGUUGAGUGAAUUUGUUGAAAGUACAACCAUUAAGAAUGCACUCCGCUAAUCUGACUUUUGUGAAAGUGUGUCAGGAAGAUAGUUAUUGUUAAAAGAAAGCCAUAAAACUACAAUGUAUUGGUUGGUAAUUCUAAAUGAACAUCUGGUAGAGGUUGGGCCAGAGGUUCACCUUCCAGUAGAACAACAACCCUACACAUAUAGCUUGAGGAAAAGUUGAAUGGUUUACUUUGAAGUAUAUUCAUCCAAUUUAUCUAUGCAUUAACUUUUCCGCAGUAGAAAAAGCAAAAACUUCAGUGCAUAGAUUUGCAGAGCUGAUAGGGAUACAUCCCAAAAGGACAUGCAACUGUAAAAGCUGCAGGAGG